CCUACGGGAGGCAGCAGUGGGGAAUAUUGGACAAUGGGGGGAACCCUGAUCCAGCCAUGCCGCGUGUGUGAAGAAGGCCCUCGGGUUGUAAAGCACUUUCAGUGAGGAAGAACGCCUGGUGGUUAAUACCCAUCAGGAAAGACAUCACUCACAGAAGAAGCACCGUCUAACUCCGUGCCAGCAGCCGCGGUAAUACGGAGGGUGCGAGCGUUAAUCGGAAUUACUGGGCGUAAAGCGCGCGUAGGUGGCUUGAUAAGCCGGUUGUGAAAGCCCCGGGCUCAACCUGGGAACGGCAUCCGGAACUGUCAAGCUAGAGUGCAGGAGAGGAAGGUAGAAUUCCCGGUGUAGCGGUGAAAUGCGUAGAGAUCGGGAGGAAUACCAGUGGCGAAGGCGGCCUUCUGGACUGACACUGACACUGAGGUGCGAAAGCGUGGGUAGCAAACAGGAUUAGAUACCCCAGUAGUC
RNAcentral lists this ribosomal RNA (465 nucleotides) under Vreelandella stevensii. RNAcentral's name for it is "partial 16S ribosomal RNA". It matches the Rfam family "Bacterial small subunit ribosomal RNA", at positions 338 to 795 of the family's 1533-position model. Lineage: Bacteria; Pseudomonadati; Pseudomonadota; Gammaproteobacteria; Oceanospirillales; Halomonadaceae. The record is from RNAcentral.